CAAGAUUAUAUCUGGCACUGCAUUGAUCUCUUCUUAGAUUUCAUUACUGUCUUCAGAAAACUCAUGAUGAUCCUGGCCAUGAAUGAAAAGGUUAAAGAAAGAGAAGAAAUGAAGUGACCAUCCAGCCUUUCCCAAUUAGACUUCCUCUCCUUCCACCCCUCAUUUCCUUUUUGCACACAUUACAGGUGGUGUGUUCUGUGAUAAUGAAAAGCAUCAGAAAAGCUUUUGUACUUUGUGGUUUCCUCUAUUUUGAAUUUUUUGAUCAAAAAACUGAUUAGCAGAAUAUAGUUUGGAGUUUGGCUUCAUCUUCCUGGGGUUCCCCUCACUCCCUUUUUUGUCAACCCCAUCUGUAGCCUCUUCCUCUACUCAGGCAGUCGACCCGCCACGAUGAGAAGUGGGACCAGCAGAGGGCGCCAACUUCAGGAGUCCGCUUUCCCACCAGGCUUCAUUCACCCAGUGGACCUGAACUGUUUGGUAGAGCCACCCGGCCCUUCCUUCCUCAUUGUUGUUUGGUAUGCGCACAGUUCCUGUGGGACUGGGCCGUGAGUUUUCCAUUGGAAAGAAGUUCAGUGGUCCCAUUGUUAACUCAGCCUCAAAUCUCAACUGUCAGGCCCUACAAAGAAAAUGGAGAGCCUCUUCUGGUGGAUGCUUUGCUCCCUCUGAGCUGCCCAUGCUGGUCUGGCAAACACACCUUUCUGCUUUGCCUUCACAAAAGUAAUGUGUUCCCUUUCCCACCCCUUGCCUGACCCUCAGGGAGUCAGCCUGCUUCCAUCCAUGGGUGGGAAGACUUCAGCACAAAGGAAAGACUAAUUCUUGUCAGGCAUUUUUGAAAAGGCUGAUUAUGUGUAUCAAGGUACAGCAUCGUAGGGUUCCCCUAAACUUGCCCUGUUUUUGUUUUUUUAGUUUGUUAUCCCCUUACUGAGCGGCCUCUACUAGGUGGCUGUGAUUAAAUGUCCCAAGCAAGGAUAGGGAAGGGGAAUGGUUGAGCCUCUGGAGAUCAUUGUAACCAAUCCUGCCAGACCUGUUUGGGGCAGUGGGGAGCAAACCUAGAUAAGGACCUGUUUGGGGCAGCAGGGAGCAAAAUCUCCUUUAACAACCAAGCAGUUCCUCAUUCACAUCAACAGAGCGAGGCUGUGAUAACUUAGGAGGCAGCAAUCCUAAUAGUCCUUCAGUGCAUUUUAGUCUGUCUCCAACUGGACACCAGUAGGUAGUGUCAAGCCAGAGAUUCGGGGCAGUAGAUAAAUGUUCAUUUUACUGAUGCACUUUAGUUUUUGGUCUGUUACCUGUUUUCCAGAAAUUUGUGGCCUUUUAGGCGGGAGUUAGGCGACCAAACCAGUGAGAGCCCCAAUCCCUGCAGUUUUGUGGCUUCAAGUGUGGGUGGACAGUCCUAAUGGGGAUCUCCAGCUCCUUCCUGUGGGCUGCCACAGACAGCUACCCCCAGAAGGGUCAAUGUUGGGAGUGGUUGUGGCUCUGAGCUGCUCUACAGAGCUUCAGUGUGAGAGGAUCGAGCCAUUGAAAGCUCAUUACCAGUAGGACAUAAUUUUUGGCUCUCCCUAUUCACAACCAGUGCACAGUUUGACACAGUGGCCUCAGGUUCACAGUGCACCAUGUCACUGUGCUAUCCUACGAAAUCAUUUGUUUCUAAGUUGUGUUUAUUCCUGGAGUGACAUGCCACCCCGAAUGGCUCACUUUCACUGAGGAUGCUGUCCUCUGAUUUAGCUGCUGCCUCCAGCCUCUGGCUUGAGAACUUACUAAAGGCACUUCCUUCCUGUUAAACCCCUGUUAACUCUCCAUAAAUUUGGUGAUUCUCUGCUAGGCCUAAGAUUUUGAGUUAACAUCUCUUGAAGCCAAACUCCACCUUCUGUGCUUUUUGCUUGGGAUAAUGGAGUUUUUCUUUAGAAACAGUGC
RNAcentral lists this long non-coding RNA (1908 nucleotides) under Homo sapiens (human). RNAcentral's name for it is "long non-coding RNA NONHSAT162173.1". Lineage: Eukaryota; Metazoa; Chordata; Mammalia; Primates; Hominidae. The record is from RNAcentral.